CUAAGUAGAACCUAAGAUGGUGGUGGACCUCCAUCACAAUGUUCUUCACCCCCAAAAGUAGAACCUAAGAUGGUGGUGGACCUCCAUUUGGAUGUAUCUUCAUCCCUAAAAGUAGAACUUAAGAUGGUGGUGGACCUCCAUGGGGACGUUCUUCAUCCUAAAUUGGAGUUAUGGUGGUGAUGGAUCUCCAUGGGGUUGUAUUUUCAUCCUAAGAUGGAGUUAAGAUGGUGGUGGACCUCCAUUUGGAUGUAUUUUCGUCCUAAAUUGGAGGUAUGGUGGUGGUGGACCUCCAUCAGGAUGUUCUUCACCCCCAAAAGUAGAACCUAAGAUGGUGGUGGACCUCCAUUUGGAUGUAUUUUCAUCCUAAAUUGGAGAUAUGAUGGUGGUGGACCUCCAUCGGGGUGUUCUUCACCCCCAAAAGUAGAACCUAAGAUGGUGGUGGACCUCCAUUUGGAUGUAUUUUCAUCCUAAAUUGGAGAUAUGAUGGUGGUGGACCUCCAUCGGGGUGUUCUUCACCCAAAGUGGGACCUAUGAUGGUGAUGGUGGACCUCCAUGGGGACGUUCCUCACCCCAAUUAGAACCUAAAUAGGUGGUAGACCUCCAUGAGGACGUUCUUCACCCCAAAUUGGAGUUAUGUUCCUCACCCCAAGUAGAACCUAAGAUGGUGGUGGACCUCCAUGGGGACGUUCCUCACCCCAAGUAGAACCUAAAUAGGUGGUGGACCUCCAUGGGGACGUUCCUCACCCCAAGUAGACCCUACCUUUCUGGUAGUCCUCCAUGAGGACGUUCCUCACCCCAAAUUGGACUUAUGAUGCUGGUGGCCCUCCAUGGGGACGUUCCUCACCCCAAUUAGAACCUAAAUAGGUGGUGGCCCUCCAUGGGGACGUUCCUCGCCCCAAGUAGACCCCGAGCUGUUGGUGUCCCUCCGUGACGGUGUCCCGGGUCUUCUCCUGGCAGUGGAUCUGCUGCGACAUCCGCUACCUGGACGUCAGCAUCCUGGGCAAGUUCGCGGUGGUGAUGGCCGACCCGCCCUGGGACAUCCACAUGGAGCUGCCCUACGGCACGCUGACCGACGACGAGAUGCGGCGCCUCAACAUCCCCGUCCUGCAGGACGAGGGCUUCCUCUUCCUCUGGGUCACCGGGAGGUGAGUGGGGGGACACCUCCAGGUCCUCUGUGGGUGGAGGUCCUCUUGGAGGUCCUCCUUGGGUGGAGCUCUUGGAGGUUCUCCUUGGUGGAACUCUUGGAAAUCCUCUUUGGUUGGACCUCUUGGAGGUUCUCCUGGAGGUUCUUUUGGAGGUCUUCCUUGGUUGGGAUCUCUUGGAGGUUCUCUUGGAGAUCCUCUUUGGUUGGAUCUCUUGGAGGUUCUCUUGGAGGUCUUCCUUGGGUGGAACUCUUGGAGGUCAUCUUGGAGGUCCUCCUUGGGUGGAGCUCCUGGAGAUCCUCGUUGGUUGGGCCUCUUGGAGGUUCUCCUGGUUUGGACCUUCUGGAGGUUCUCUUGGAGAUCCUCUUUGAUUGGAUCUCUUGGAGGUUCUCCUUGGUUGAACCUCUUGGAGGUUCUUUUGGAGGUCUUCCUUGGUUGGAUCUCUUGGAGGUCCUCCUGGAUUGGACCUUCUGGAGGUCAUCUUGGAGGUCUUCCUUGGUUGGACCUCUUGGAGGUUCUCUUAGAGGUUUUUGGUUGGCCUCCAGGAGGGUCUCCUAGAGGUUCUCCUUGGUUGGAUCUCUUGGAGGUUCUCCUGGAUUGGAUCUCUUGGAGGUUCUCUUGGAGAUCCUCUUUGGUUGGAUCUCUUGGAGGUCUCCUUGGUUGAACCUCUUGGAGGUUCUUUUGGAGGUCUUCCUUGGGUGGAACUCUUGGAGAUCCUCCUUGAUUGAACCUCCUGAAGGUUCUCCUAGAGGUUCUCCUUGGUUGGAUCUCUUGGAGGUCCUCUUGGAGAUCCUCUUUGGUUGGACCUCUUGGAUUGGACCUCUUGGAGGUUCUCUUGGAGGUCCUCUUUGGUUGGUUCUCUUGGAGAUCCUCCUAAUUUGGGCCUCCAGGAAGUCCUCUUGAAGGUCAACCUGGAUUGGACCUCUUUGAGGUUCUUUUGGAGGUUCUCCUUGGUUGAACCUCUUGGAGGUCAUCUUGGAGGUCUUCCUUGGUUGAACCUCUUGGAGAUCCUCUUUGGUUGGAUCUCUUGGAGGUCAUCUUGGAGGUCCUCCUUGAUUGGCCUCCUAAUUUGGGCCUCCAGGAGGUUCUUUUGGAGAUCCUCCUGGAUUGGACCUCUUGGAGAUCAUCUUGGAGGUCUCCCUUGGUUGGCCUCCAGGAGGUUCUCUUGAAGGUCAACCUGGAUUGGACCUCCUGGAGGUCCUCCUGGAGACCCUUUUUAAUUAACCUCCCUAAUUGGACCUCCAGGAGCUCCUUUUUUAAUUAACCUCCCUAAUUGGACCUCCUGGAGGUCCUCCUGGUGGACCUCCAUGGUUGACCUCCUGGAGGUCCUCCAGGAGCUCCUUUUUAAUUAACCUCCCUAAUUAGACCUCCAGGAGCUCCUUUUUUAAUUAACCUCCUUAGUUAGACCUCCAGGAGCUCCUUUUUAAUUAACCUCCUUAAUUGGACCUCCUGGAGGUCCUCCUGGUGGACCUCCAUGGUUGUCCUACUGGAGGUCCUCCUGGAGUUCCUCUUUAAUUAACCUCCUUAAUUAGACCUCCAGGAGCUCCUUUUUUAAUUA
Molecule: long non-coding RNA, 2700 nt
Filed under: Anas platyrhynchos platyrhynchos (common mallard)
Lineage: Eukaryota; Metazoa; Chordata; Aves; Anseriformes; Anatidae
Description: lncRNA (ENSAPLG00000021915.1)
Source: RNAcentral